Molecule: ribosomal RNA, 459 nt
Filed under: uncultured bacterium
Lineage: Bacteria
Description: partial 16S ribosomal RNA
Rfam family: Bacterial small subunit ribosomal RNA
Source: RNAcentral
CCUACGGGUGGCAGCAGUGAGGAAUAUUGGUCAAUGGCCGAGAGGCUGAACCAGCCAAGUCGCGUGAGGGAAGACGGCCCUACGGGUUGUAAACCUCUUUUGUCGGGGAGCAAAGAGAGUCACGUGUGACUCAUUGAGAGUACCCGAAGAAAAAGCAUCGUCUAACUCCGUGACAGAAGACGCGGUAAUACGGAGGAUGCGAGGGUUAUCCGGAUUGAGUGGGGUUAAAGGGUGCGCAGGCGGAGGUGCAAGUCAGUGGUCAAAUUGCGGGGCUCAACCUCGUACUGCCGUUGAAACUGUAUCCCUUGAGUGCGCGAGAAGUAUGCGGAAUGCGGGGUGUAGCGGUGAAAUGCAUAGAUAUCACGCAGAACUCCGAUUGCGAAGGCAGCAUACCGGCGCGCAACGGACGCUCAUGCACGAAAGCGUGGGUAUCGAACAGGAUUAGAUACCCCAGUAGUC